GGAUUAAGAGCUUGCUCUUAUGAAGUUAGCGGCGGACGGGUGAGUAACACGUGGGUAACCUGCCCAUAAGACUGGGAUAACUCCGGGAAACCGGGGCUAAUACCGGAUAACAUUUUGAACCGCAUGGUUCGAAAUUGAAAGGCGGCUUCGGCUGUCACUUAUGGAUGGACCCGCGUCGCAUUAGCUAGUUGGUGAGGUAACGGCUCACCAAGGCAACGAUGCGUAGCCGACCUGAGAGGGUGAUCGGCCACACUGGGACUGAGACACGGCCCAGACUCCUACGGGAGGCAGCAGUAGGGAAUCUUCCGCAAUGGACGAAAGUCUGACGGAGCAACGCCGCGUGAGUGAUGAAGGCUUUCGGGUCGUAAAACUCUGUUGUUAGGGAAGAACAAGUGCUAGUUGAAUAAGCUGGCACCUUGACGGUACCUAACCAGAAAGCCACGGCUAACUACGUGCCAGCAGCCGCGGUAAUACGUAGGUGGCAAGCGUUAUCCGGAAUUAUUGGGCGUAAAGCGCGCGCAGGUGGUUUCUUAAGUCUGAUGUGAAAGCCCACGGCUCAACCGUGGAGGGUCAUUGGAAACUGGGAGACUUGAGUGCAGAAGAGGAAAGUGGAAUUCCAUGUGUAGCGGUGAAAUGCGUAGAGAUAUGGAGGAACACCAGUGGCGAAGGCGACUUUCUGGUCUGUAACUGACACUGAGGCGCGAAAGCGUGGGGAGCAACAGGAUUAGAUACGCUGGUAGUCCACGCCGUAAACGAUGAGUGCUAAGUGUUAGAGGGUUUCCGCCCUUUAGUGCUGAAGUUAACGCAUUAAGCACUCCGCCUGGGGGAGAACGGCCGCAAGGCUGAAACUCAAAGGAAUUGACG
Molecule: ribosomal RNA, 864 nt
Filed under: Bacillus cereus
Lineage: Bacteria; Bacillati; Bacillota; Bacilli; Caryophanales; Bacillaceae
Description: bacterial SSU rRNA
Rfam family: Bacterial small subunit ribosomal RNA
Source: RNAcentral